This 497-nucleotide ribosomal RNA is filed under the name uncultured bacterium. RNAcentral's name for it is "partial 16S ribosomal RNA". It matches the Rfam family "Bacterial small subunit ribosomal RNA", at positions 28 to 507 of the family's 1533-position model. The record is from RNAcentral.
GAUGAACGCUGGCGGCGUGCCUAAUACAUGCAAGUCGAGCGAACAGACGAGGAGCUUGCUCCUCUUACGUUAGCGGCGGGCGGGGGAGUAACACGUGGAUAACCUACCUAUAAGACUGGGAUAACUUCGGGAAACCGGAGCUAAUACCGGAUAAUAUAUUGAACCGCAUGGUGCAAUAGUGAAAGACGGUUUUGCUGUCACUCAUAGAUGGAUCCGCGCCGCAUUAGCUAGUUGGUAAGGUAACGGCUUACCAAGGCAACGAUGCGUAGCCGACCUGAGAGGGUGAUCGGCCACACUGGAACUGAGACACGGUCCAGACUCCUACGGGAGGCAGCAGUAGGGAAUCUUCCGCAAUGGGCGAAAGCCUGACGGAGCAACGCCGCGUGAGUGAUGAAGGUCUUCGGAUCGUAAAACUCUGUUAUUAGGGAAGAACAAAUGUGUAAGUAACUAUGCACGUCUUGACGGUACCUAAUCAGAAAGCCACGGCUAACUACGUG